UACGGAGGGGGUUAGCGUUGUUCGGAAUUACUGGGCGUAAAGCGCGCGUAGGCGGAUCAGAAAGUAGGGGGUGAAAUCCCAGGGCUCAACCCUGGAACUGCCUUUAAAACUCCUGGUCUUGAGUUCGAGAGAGGUGAGUAGAAUUCCGAGUGUAGAGGUGAAAUUCGUAGAUAUUCGGAGGAAUACCAGUGGCGAAGGCGGCUCACUGGCUCGAUACUGACGCUGAGGUGCGAAAGCGUGGGGAGCAAACAGG
This 253-nucleotide ribosomal RNA is filed under the name uncultured bacterium. Its description in RNAcentral is "partial 16S ribosomal RNA". It matches the Rfam family "Bacterial small subunit ribosomal RNA", at positions 524 to 776 of the family's 1533-position model. The record is from RNAcentral.